This 398-nucleotide ribosomal RNA is filed under the name uncultured bacterium. RNAcentral's name for it is "bacterial SSU rRNA". It matches the Rfam family "Bacterial small subunit ribosomal RNA", at positions 362 to 776 of the family's 1533-position model. The record is from RNAcentral.
UAUUGCACAAUGGGGGAAACCCUGAUGCAGCGACGCCGCGUGAGUGAAGAAGUAUUUCGGUAUGUAAAGCUCUAUCAGCAGGGAAGAAAAAAGACGGUACCUGACUAAGAAGCCCCGGCUAACUACGUGCCAGCAGCCGCGGUAAUACGUAGGGGGCAAGCGUUAUCCGGAUUUACUGGGUGUAAAGGGAGCGUAGACGGCUGUGCAAGCCAGAUGUGAAAGCCCGGGGCUCAACCCCGGGACUGCAUUUGGAACUGUGUGGCUGGAGUGUCGGAGAGGCAGGCGGAAUUCCUAGUGUAGCGGUGAAAUGCGUAGAUAUUAGGAGGAACACCAGUGGCGAAGGCGGCCUGCUGGGCUUUUACUGACGCUGAGGCUCGAAAGCGUGGGUAGCAAACAGG